This 253-nucleotide ribosomal RNA is filed under the name uncultured bacterium. RNAcentral describes it as "partial 16S ribosomal RNA". It matches the Rfam family "Bacterial small subunit ribosomal RNA", at positions 524 to 776 of the family's 1533-position model. The record is from RNAcentral.
UACGUAGGUGGCGAGCGUUGUCCGGAUUUACUGGGCGUAAAGAGCGCGCAGGCGGUCGGCCAAGUCGAGUGUGAAAGCCCCCGGCUCAACUGGGGAGGGUCACUUGAUACUGGUCGACUCGAAGGCGGGAGAGGGAAGUGGAAUUCCCGGUGUAGUGGUGAAAUGCGUAGAUAUCGGGAGGAACACCAGUGGCGAAGGCGACUUCCUGGCCCGUUCUUGACGCUGAGGCGCGAAAGCUAGGGGAGCGAACGGG